AUUGAACGCUGGCGGCAGGCCUAACACAUGCAAGUCGAGCGGAUGAAGGGAGCUUGCUCCUGGAUUCAGCGGCGGACGGGUGAGUAAUGCCUAGGAAUCUGCCUGGUAGUGGGGGGUAACGUCCGGAAACGGGCGCUAAUACCGCAUACGUCCUGAGGGAGAAAGUGGGGGAUCUUCGGACCUCACGCUAUCAGAUGAGCCUAGGUCGGAUUAGCUAGUUGGUGGGGUAAAGGCCUACCAAGGCGACGAUCCGUAACUGGUCUGAGAGGAUGAUCAGUCACACUGGAACUGAGACACGGUCCAGACUCCUACGGGAGGCAGCAGUGGGGAAUAUUGGACAAUGGGCGAAAGCCUGAUCCAGCCAUGCCGCGUGUGUGAAGAAGGUCUUCGGAUUGUCAAGCACUUUAAGUUGGGAGGAAGGGCAGUAAGUUAAUACCUUGCUGUUUUGACGUUACCAACAGAAUAAGCACCGGCUAACUUCGUG
This 484-nucleotide ribosomal RNA is filed under the name uncultured bacterium. Its description in RNAcentral is "partial 16S ribosomal RNA". It matches the Rfam family "Bacterial small subunit ribosomal RNA", at positions 30 to 507 of the family's 1533-position model. The record is from RNAcentral.